Capsicum annuum is the source of this 315-nucleotide long non-coding RNA. RefSeq lists it as uncharacterized. Lineage: Eukaryota; Viridiplantae; Streptophyta; Magnoliopsida; Solanales; Solanaceae. The record is from RefSeq and is a predicted model, not a curated record. The transcript has 3 exons.
AAACAAUAAAGUCAAUAAGGUAAAAUCAAGGGUAUCGGUGGUGUUGAAUUACUCAUCUCAUAUUUUGUGCAGGCAUUGUUGGGUCAGUACUUGCUAAGGAAGGACGAUUGCCAAAUGUACCUGAUAUUUUCUCCGGUGCAUUUAAGAUCGCCUGGAGGCAAAUUCGACAAGAUAAUUCAACCAGGUCAACUCCAAAGUCAGGCAAUGCUUCUUUGAUGCAGCAGGUUAAUAGCUUACGGCAGGAUCUGCAACUCUUGGCUUCAAAUAGAUCUGUUACAAUCGUGACAUCAAGUGGAUCAGGUUUUUGUUACUACA